Molecule: ribosomal RNA, 393 nt
Filed under: uncultured bacterium
Lineage: Bacteria
Description: partial 16S ribosomal RNA
Rfam family: Bacterial small subunit ribosomal RNA
Source: RNAcentral
AUACGGAGGAUCCGAGCGUUAUCCGGAUUUAUUGGGUUUAAAGGGUGCGCAGGCGGGAGAUUAAGUCGGCGGUGAAAUUUUGCAGCUCAACUGUAAAAGGGCCUUCGAAACUGGUUUUCUUGCGUGUAGAUGAAGUAGGCGGAAAUUGCGGUGUAGCGGUGAAAUGCAUAGAUAUCACGAGGAACUCCGAUUGCGCAGGCAGCUUACUAAACUAGUACUGACGCUCAGGCACGAAGGCGUGGGGAUCAAACAGGAUUAGAUACCCUGGUAGUCCACGCAGUAGACGAUGAUUACUAGCUGUUUGCGAUACAAUGUAAGCGGCUGAGCGAAAGCGUUAAGUAAUCCACCUGGGGAGUACGUUCGCAAGAAUGAAACUCAAAGGAAUUGACGGGG